GACGAACGCUGGCGGCGUGCUUAACACAUGCAAGUCGAACGGAAAGGCCCUGCUUUUGUUGGGUGCUCGAGUGGCGAACGGGUGUGUAACACGUGAGUAACCUCCCCUUUACUUUGGGAUAACUUCAUGAAACUGGGGCGAAUACCCGAUAGGAGCUCCUGCUGCAUGGUUGGGGUUGGAAAGUUUCGGUGUUUGUGGAUGGACUCGAGGCUUAUCAGCUUGUUGGUGGGGUAGUGGCUUACCAAGGCGUUGACGGGUAGCCGGCCUGAGAGGGUGACCGGGCCCAGUGGGACUGAGGUACGGACCAGACUGAUACGGGGGGCAGCAGUGGGGACUAGUGCACAAUGGGCGGAAGCCUGUUGCAGCAAUGUCGCGUGCGGGAUGACGGCCUUCGGGUUGUAACCCGCUUUAGCCUGUAACGAAGCGUGAGUGACGGUAAUGGGUAAAGAAGCACCGGCUAACUACGUG
RNAcentral lists this ribosomal RNA (468 nucleotides) under uncultured bacterium. RNAcentral's name for it is "partial 16S ribosomal RNA". It matches the Rfam family "Bacterial small subunit ribosomal RNA", at positions 28 to 507 of the family's 1533-position model. The record is from RNAcentral.